CCCAAAGUCAAGCAAGAAAUUUUGCAAGUUUGGAAAGUUGAGAUACUAUUAUUAAAAUUUUACCUUUUGACAACGUUCGUCUUUAUUUUAACCUGGCGAAGUCUUGGAUCCGAAGACAUAUUGUGCAAAAUAUAUUAAAAAUAACCGAAUUUUAGGUCUUGAUUUUUCAAAACAAGAAAUUUAAAACUGCAAAGCUUCUUGCAAAGCAACGAAGUUUGUAAACAAACUUUUCCGGUGAACACUUUUUUCCAUCCAGCAAACCGCCCUAUCGAUUUUGUAAAGUCGUUUCUUUUUGGAUUUUUUCAUUAAUUCGGUUAGGGUUAGAGUUAGGGUUGAGGUUAGAGUUAGGGGUUAGGGUAGGGUUUGGGUUAGUUACAUAGCCAUUUAACACCUGCGAAAAUGACGCCAGGUCAGUUUGCUGGAUGGAAAAUAGUGCUAACCAAACUUUCCACCGUACAGGGAUUCCACGGGAUAGCACAGGAUAGGAAAAUUCUGAAAUUUGUUGUGGAUUGUGGAAACUGAAAAAUUACUUUAUAUAAAUCAAAUUACAAAAUUUGUUAUUUUUACAGUGUUAUUAAGUUUUACAGAUAGAUACUGAUGUUUUCUAAAUGUUUUCUGUACAUACUAUGGAA
Molecule: non-coding RNA, 632 nt
Organism: Paramuricea clavata
Lineage: Eukaryota; Metazoa; Cnidaria; Anthozoa; Malacalcyonacea; Plexauridae
Source: the annotation of a GenBank genome assembly